Molecule: ribosomal RNA, 511 nt
Filed under: uncultured bacterium
Lineage: Bacteria
Description: partial 16S ribosomal RNA
Rfam family: Bacterial small subunit ribosomal RNA
Source: RNAcentral
AUGAACGCUGGCGGCGUGCCUAAUACCUGCAAGUCGAACGAAACUUCUUUAUCACCGAGUGCCUGCACUCACCGAUAAAGAGUUGAGUGGCGAACGGGUGAGUAACACGUGGGCAACCUGCCCAAAAGAGGGGGAUAACACUUGGAAACAGGUGCUAAUACCGCAUAACCAUAGUUACCGCAUGGUAACUAUGUAAAAGGUGGCUAUACUACCGCUUUUGGAUGGGCCCGCGGCGCAUUAGCUAGUUGGUAGGGUAAAGGCUUACCAAGGCAAUGAUGCGUAGCCGAAUUGAGAGGUUGAUCGGCCACAUUGGGACUGAGACACGGCACAAACUCCUACGGGAGGCAGCAGUAGGGAAUCUUCCACAAUGGGCGAAAGCCUGAUGGAGCAACGCCGCGUGGGUGAAGAAGGUCUUCGGAUCGUAAAACCCUGUUGUUAGAGAAGAAAGUGCGUGAGAGUAACUGUUCACGUUUCGACGGUAUCUAACCAGAAAGCCACGGCUAACUACGUG